AGUGAACGCUGGCGGUAGGCCUAACACAUGCAAGUCGAACGGCAGCACAGUAAGAGCUUGCUCUUACGGGUGGCGAGUGGCGGACGGGUGAGGAAUACAUCGGAAUCUACUUUUUCGUGGGGGAUAACGUAGGGAAACUUACGCUAAUACCGCAUACGACCUACGGGUGAAAGCAGGGGAUCUUCGGACCUUGCGCGAUUGAAUGAGCCGAUGUCGGAUUAGCUAGUUGGCGGGGUAAAGGCCCACCAAGGCGACGAUCCGUAGCUGGUCUGAGAGGAUGAUCAGCCACACUGGAACUGAGACACGGUCCAGACUCCUACGGGAGGCCGCAGUGGGGAAUAUUGGACAAUGGGCGCAAGCCUGAUCCAACCCUACCGCGUGGGUGUAGAAGGCCUUCGGGUUGUAAAGCCCUUUUGUUGGGAAAGAAAAGCAGCAGGUUAAUACCCCGCUGUUCUGACGGUACCCAAAGAAUAAGCACCGGCUAACUUCGUG
This 492-nucleotide ribosomal RNA is filed under the name uncultured bacterium. Its description in RNAcentral is "partial 16S ribosomal RNA". It matches the Rfam family "Bacterial small subunit ribosomal RNA", at positions 29 to 507 of the family's 1533-position model. The record is from RNAcentral.